GAUGAAGAACGUAGCGAAAUGCGAUAAGUAAUGUGAAUUGCAGAAUUCAGUGAAUCAUCGAAUCUUUGAACGCACAUUGCGCCCGCCAGUAUUCUGGCGGGCAUGCCUGUUCGAGCGUCAUUUCAACCCUCAGGGCCCUUUUGGACCUGGCGUUGGGGCUCGGCCGCUACCCUGCGGCCGUCCCCGAAAGAUAGUGGCGGUCUCGCUGUAGCCUCCUCUGCGUAGUAGUUACAUCUCGCACUGGAACGCGGCGCGGCCAAGCCGUUAAACACCCCACUUCUCAAGGUUGACCUCGGAUCAGGUAGGAAUACCCGCUGAACUUAAGCAUAUCAAUAAGCGGAGGA
RNAcentral lists this unclassified non-coding RNA (344 nucleotides) under soil metagenome. Its description in RNAcentral is "partial contains 5.8S ribosomal RNA, internal transcribed spacer 2, and large subunit ribosomal RNA". The stretch from base 1 to 120 matches the Rfam family "5.8S ribosomal RNA", at positions 35 to 154 of the family's 154-position model. The record is from RNAcentral.